AACGAACGCUGGCGGCAUGCCUAACACAUGCAAGUCGAACGAUGCCUUCGGGCAUAGUGGCGCACGGGUGCGUAACGCGUGGGAAUCUGCCUUUCGGUUCGGAAUAACUCAGGGAAACUUGAGCUAAUACCGGAUAACGUCGCAAGACCAAAGAUUUAUCACCGAAAGAUGAGCCCGCGUAGGAUUAGCUAGUUGGUGAGGUAAAGGCUCACCAAGGCGACGAUCCUUAGCUGGUCUGAGAGGAUGAUCAGCCACACUGGGACUGAGACACGGCCCAGACUCCUACGGGAGGCAGCAGUGGGGAAUAUUGGACAAUGGGCGAAAGCCUGAUCCAGCAAUGCCGCGUGAGUGAUGAAGGCCUUAGGGUUGUAAAGCUCUUUUACCCGGGAAGAUAAUGACGGUACCGGGAGAAUAAGCCCCGGCUAACCCCGUG
Molecule: ribosomal RNA, 433 nt
Filed under: uncultured bacterium
Lineage: Bacteria
Description: partial 16S ribosomal RNA
Rfam family: Bacterial small subunit ribosomal RNA
Source: RNAcentral